This is a non-coding RNA of Agelaius phoeniceus (red-winged blackbird), 1001 nucleotides long. Lineage: Eukaryota; Metazoa; Chordata; Aves; Passeriformes; Icteridae. The record is from RefSeq and is a predicted model, not a curated record.
CAGGACUUGAUUUUUUUUUUUUUUUAAUUUUUAAUUUUUUUAAUUUUUUUUUUUUUGUUGUUGUUUUUUUGGCCAGAUCAAGGUCUCGUCCGCAUUUCAGCUGCUGCAGAGCUCCCUGGGCAUCCCUCCCUCGCUCAGGAGAUGCCAGAGGGUCCCCCACUGGCCUCCCCUGCUUGGUUAGUGACAAAAAGAAUCCCAACCCUGCAGCAAACUGAGCUAGGAGAGAGGAGGGAUUGAUGGAAAAGUAGGAAUGGAAGGAAGAAGGAAUUUUUAAAAUGCUGUUUCCCCAAGCUGGGCACUGGAGUUUGCCAGUGGGUCAGGGAGGGCUGGGGGGAGGCUGCUUCCCAAAGCGGUUUUAUUUUUGUUGUUGUUGUUUUGUUUGUUUGUUUUCCCCAUUUUCUUAAGGAAAAAAAAAAUGAAAGAACGAACGAAAAGGGGAAUUUAUCGAUGCAGAGGCACCUGGAUGGGUUAUCCCAGCAUGGGGACCUGGGAUCUGACACUGGUUGUGUUUGAUUUAUCUGAGUUGCUUUCUUUUCAUAAAGCAUCCAGUUUUCCCUCUGCUCCAGGGCCAGUCCUGUCCCCUGUGACAGCAGCCUUAGUACAUUGAUUUUUGGGAAGGAUCUCUGGGUGUUGGAUCCCUCCUGCUGUAACUUGGCAGUGGGAAUUGUCUUUUUCUUUUUUUUUUUUUUUUUUUUUUGUCUUUUGUUUUAAUUUUUUUUAAGAGCCGAGGAGAACACCUCCCUGAAAACCAGGGAUUUCUGCCAUUUGUAACUUUCAGAACCCUUCAAGAAUUAAAAAAGACGAAACAAAAAUCCCAACAUCUGGUGGGAUUUGCCAGCAGAUGGGAGUGAUUUGUCCCCGGAAUCCUGGGCCAGUGCUGCCCAUCCUGCCGAGACCCUUGCGCUGUUCAUUUCAAUGAGACUUAAAAAGAGAUGAAUAAAACAAAGUUUAUAAAAAUGGAGAAGUGGAGAUUGGAAAAUUAAAUAUUUCCUGUUACUGUA